Long non-coding RNA from Bos indicus x Bos taurus (hybrid cattle), 351 nucleotides. NCBI's taxonomy places the organism in Eukaryota, Metazoa, Chordata, Mammalia, Artiodactyla, Bovidae. The record is from Ensembl.
CUGACAACUAGCAAUUGGAACCUCAAGCAGAGAUGGUGUAAGUUCAUGCAGACAAGUGUCAGAAAAUCAAAGACAAGUCUAAGGCAAGCUGUCAAGAAGUGGCCGGUCUGAAGUUGUUGAGGAGAGUGGGGCACAUAUCAAGAUGUGCAAGGAUCAAGAGCUCUACAGAAAAGCUGUUUUGAGCUUGGGAGACAAAAAAGACUGAAUUCAACUCAGAUGGUUCAAAGAAAGAUAUGACCUACAGAGAUACAGCCAAGGUAAAGUGAAACUACAAGAGUUGUUGAGACAUCCAUAGUGAGCAGAAUGGGAUGCUCGUUCUUUCCCUAGUCUUAAAGGACUGGGGGUGAAAUA